UUGCGGUUAAAAAGCUCGUAGUUGGAUUUCUGUCUGGGAUGGUCGGUCCGCACUUUGUGCGUGCAUCUGAUGCGUCCUCGGCAUCCUUCUGAAGGACAUUGUACUUUAUUGUAUGAUGGAUUUCAGAACUUUUACUUUGAGGAAAUUAGAGUGUUCACAGCAAGCAAGCGCUUUGAAUACAUUAGCAUGGAAUAAUAAUAUAGGACCUUCAGUACUAUUUUGUUGGUUUCUAGAGCUGAGGUAAUGAUUAAUAGGGACAGUUGGGGGCAUUCGUAUUAACGCGUCAGAGGUGGAAUUCUUGGAUUGCGUUACGACGAACUACUGCGAAAGCAUUUGCCAAGGAUGUUUUCAUUGAUCAAGAACGAAAGUAUGGGGAUCGAAGACGAUUAGAUACCGUCGUAGUCUAUACCAUAAACUAUGCCGACUAGAGAUUGGAGGUCGUUUUUUUAUGACUCCUUCAGCACCUUAU
Molecule: ribosomal RNA, 469 nt
Filed under: uncultured marine eukaryote
Lineage: Eukaryota
Description: SSU rRNA
Rfam family: Eukaryotic small subunit ribosomal RNA
Source: RNAcentral